CACGGCCUGGAGAGGCCUCGGCGCACAAGGCCGGGGAUAAGCGGCCUCCCGGGGGAGGCGCAGGCGGCGCUGCCUUAGCGAUGGAAAGCAGGCAUUUCAGUGUUGAUGUUCCCCAGUCCUGGCGGCUGACGGUUACUAGGGGAUCCUGAAGGAUGUGUUUCCCUGUGACCCUUUGAGAAGAAAAACUUAGUUGCCGCAGUAACCAAGUUUGGCGUGGAUGCAAUGAUGCAGUAAAUAGCAUAGAGUGGCCAGAGGAGAUGGGAUGAACCACAGUAAUGCAAAUAGUGAAAAGUGCAGAGUGAAGAGGAUAGCUGUAUCAUGGAAAGCGACGGGAAGGAUGGUGCGUGCGGUGCCGUGCAGCCUAACUACCUGUACGUGCCAGCGGCCGCAUCUUGCCUUUGAUUAGGCACCGCAUUUGCACCUCGUGUUCCUGUACUGAUGUUCACGGUCCUGUUACAUUUAACGCGUCCUUUAGUUCUGGAUGGAUGACUGACCCCUGCGGGGACCCAAAUCGCGCAAGGACGAAAAGUUUCUGAGGAGCCAAACACAACC
Passer domesticus (house sparrow) is the source of this 552-nucleotide long non-coding RNA. RefSeq lists it as uncharacterized. The record is from RefSeq and is a predicted model, not a curated record. NCBI's taxonomy places the organism in Eukaryota, Metazoa, Chordata, Aves, Passeriformes, Passeridae. The transcript is spliced from 4 exons.